GACGAACGCUGGCGGCGUGCUUAACACAUGCAAGUCGAACGGAAAGGCCCCUUUGGGGGUACUCGAGUGGCGAACGGGUGAGUAACACGUGAGUAACCUGCCCUUGACUUCGGGAUAACUUCAGGAAACUGGGGCUAAUACCGGAAAGGAAUCCUUGCGGCAUGGUGGGGGUUGGAAAGCUUCGGCGGGUUUGGAUGGACUCGCGGCUUAUCAGCUUGGUGGUGGGGUGGUGGCUUACCAAGGCUUUGACGGGGAGCCGGCCUGUGAGGGCGACCGGCCACAUUGGGACUGAGAUACGGCCCAGACUCCUACGGGAGGCAGCAGUGGGGAAUAUUGCACAAUGGGCGGAAGCCUGAUGCAGCAACGCCGCGUGCGGGAUGACGGCCUUCGGGUUGUAAACCGCUUUCAGCAGGGGCGAAGCUUGUGGUGACGGUACCUGCAGAAGAAGCACCGGCUAACUACGUG
RNAcentral lists this ribosomal RNA (465 nucleotides) under uncultured bacterium. RNAcentral's name for it is "partial 16S ribosomal RNA". It matches the Rfam family "Bacterial small subunit ribosomal RNA", at positions 28 to 507 of the family's 1533-position model. The record is from RNAcentral.